GACAGAGGUCCCAAGCGUUAGGCGGAAUCACUGGGCUUAAAGCGUGUGUAGGCGGAUUUGUAAGUACCUUGUGAAAUCCCACGGCUCAACCGUGGAACUGCUUGGUAUACUGCUUAUCUUGGGCCAUCUAGGGGCGAGCGGAACAAACGGUGGAGCGGUGAAAUGCGUAGAUAUCGUUUGGAACGCCGAUGGUGAAAACAGCUCGCUGGGGAUGUGCCGACGCUGAGAUACGAAAGCCAGGGGAGCGAACGGG
This 253-nucleotide ribosomal RNA is filed under the name uncultured bacterium. RNAcentral describes it as "partial 16S ribosomal RNA". It matches the Rfam family "Bacterial small subunit ribosomal RNA", at positions 524 to 776 of the family's 1533-position model. The record is from RNAcentral.